RNAcentral lists this ribosomal RNA (2900 nucleotides) under Escherichia coli. RNAcentral's name for it is "23S ribosomal RNA". It matches the Rfam family "Bacterial large subunit ribosomal RNA". Lineage: Bacteria; Pseudomonadati; Pseudomonadota; Gammaproteobacteria; Enterobacterales; Enterobacteriaceae. The record is from RNAcentral.
GGUUAAGCGACUAAGCGUACACGGUGGAUGCCCUGGCAGUCAGAGGCGAUGAAGGACGUGCUAAUCUGCGAUAAGCGUCGGUAAGGUGAUAUGAACCGUUAUAACCGGCGAUUUCCGAAUGGGGAAACCCAGUGUGAUUCGUCACACUAUCAUUAACUGAAUCCAUAGGUUAAUGAGGCGAACCGGGGGAACUGAAACAUCUAAGUACCCCGAGGAAAAGAAAUCAACCGAGAUUCCCCCAGUAGCGGCGAGCGAACGGGGAGGAGCCCAGAGCCUGAAUCAGUGUGUGUGUUAGUGGAAGCGUCUGGAAAGGCGCGCGAUACAGGGUGACAGCCCCGUACACAAAAAUGCACAUGCUGUGAGCUCGAUGAGUAGGGCGGGACACGUGGUAUCCUGUCUGAAUAUGGGGGACCAUCCUCCAAGGCUAAAUACUCCUGACUGACCGAUAGUGAACCAGUACCGUGAGGGAAAGGCGAAAAGAACCCCGGCGAGGGGAGUGAAAAAGAACCUGAAACCGUGUACGUACAAGCAGUGGGAGCCUCUUUAUGGGGUGACUGCGUACCUUUUGUAUAAUGGGUCAGCGACUUAUAUUCUGUAGCAAGGUUAACCGAAUAGGGGAGCCGAAGGGAAACCGAGUCUUAACUGGGCGUUAAGUUGCAGGGUAUAGACCCGAAACCCGGUGAUCUAGCCAUGGGCAGGUUGAAGGUUGGGUAACACUAACUGGAGGACCGAACCGACUAAUGUUGAAAAAUUAGCGGAUGACUUGUGGCUGGGGGUGAAAGGCCAAUCAAACCGGGAGAUAGCUGGUUCUCCCCGAAAGCUAUUUAGGUAGCGCCUCGUGAAUUCAUCUCCGGGGGUAGAGCACUGUUUCGGCAAGGGGGUCAUCCCGACUUACCAACCCGAUGCAAACUGCGAAUACCGGAGAAUGUUAUCACGGGAGACACACGGCGGGUGCUAACGUCCGUCGUGAAGAGGGAAACAACCCAGACCGCCAGCUAAGGUCCCAAAGUCAUGGUUAAGUGGGAAACGAUGUGGGAAGGCCCAGACAGCCAGGAUGUUGGCUUAGAAGCAGCCAUCAUUUAAAGAAAGCGUAAUAGCUCACUGGUCGAGUCGGCCUGCGCGGAAGAUGUAACGGGGCUAAACCAUGCACCGAAGCUGCGGCAGCGACACUAUGUGUUGUUGGGUAGGGGAGCGUUCUGUAAGCCUGUGAAGGUGUGCUGUGAGGCAUGCUGGAGGUAUCAGAAGUGCGAAUGCUGACAUAAGUAACGAUAAAGCGGGUGAAAAGCCCGCUCGCCGGAAGACCAAGGGUUCCUGUCCAACGUUAAUCGGGGCAGGGUGAGUCGACCCCUAAGGCGAGGCCGAAAGGCGUAGUCGAUGGGAAACAGGUUAAUAUUCCUGUACUUGGUGUUACUGCGAAGGGGGACGGAGAAGGCUAUGUUGGCCGGGCGACGGUUGUCCCGGUUUAAGCGUGUAGGCUGGUUUUCCAGGCAAAUCCGGAAAAUCAAGGCUGAGGCGUGAUGACGAGGCACUACGGUGCUGAAGCAACAAAUGCCCUGCUUCCAGGAAAAGCCUCUAAGCAUCAGGUAACAUCAAAUCGUACCCCAAACCGACACAGGUGGUCAGGUAGAGAAUACCAAGGCGCUUGAGAGAACUCGGGUGAAGGAACUAGGCAAAAUGGUGCCGUAACUUCGGGAGAAGGCACGCUGAUAUGUAGGUGAAGUCCCUCGCGGAUGGAGCUGAAAUCAGUCGAAGAUACCAGCUGGCUGCAACUGUUUAUUAAAAACACAGCACUGUGCAAACACGAAAGUGGACGUAUACGGUGUGACGCCUGCCCGGUGCCGGAAGGUUAAUUGAUGGGGUCAGCGCAAGCGAAGCUCUUGAUCGAAGCCCCGGUAAACGGCGGCCGUAACUAUAACGGUCCUAAGGUAGCGAAAUUCCUUGUCGGGUAAGUUCCGACCUGCACGAAUGGCGUAAUGAUGGCCAGGCUGUCUCCACCCGAGACUCAGUGAAAUUGAACUCGCUGUGAAGAUGCAGUGUACCCGCGGCAAGACGGAAAGACCCCGUGAACCUUUACUAUAGCUUGACACUGAACAUUGAGCCUUGAUGUGUAGGAUAGGUGGGAGGCUUUGAAGUGUGGACGCCAGUCUGCAUGGAGCCGACCUUGAAAUACCACCCUUUAAUGUUUGAUGUUCUAACGUUGACCCGUAAUCCGGGUUGCGGACAGUGUCUGGUGGGUAGUUUGACUGGGGCGGUCUCCUCCUAAAGAGUAACGGAGGAGCACGAAGGUUGGCUAAUCCUGGUCGGACAUCAGGAGGUUAGUGCAAUGGCAUAAGCCAGCUUGACUGCGAGCGUGACGGCGCGAGCAGGUGCGAAAGCAGGUCAUAGUGAUCCGGUGGUUCUGAAUGGAAGGGCCAUCGCUCAACGGAUAAAAGGUACUCCGGGGAUAACAGGCUGAUACCGCCCAAGAGUUCAUAUCGACGGCGGUGUUUGGCACCUCGAUGUCGGCUCAUCACAUCCUGGGGCUGAAGUAGGUCCCAAGGGUAUGGCUGUUCGCCAUUUAAAGUGGUACGCGAGCUGGGUUUAGAACGUCGUGAGACAGUUCGGUCCCUAUCUGCCGUGGGCGCUGGAGAACUGAGGGGGGCUGCUCCUAGUACGAGAGGACCGGAGUGGACGCAUCACUGGUGUUCGGGUUGUCAUGCCAAUGGCACUGCCCGGUAGCUAAAUGCGGAAGAGAUAAGUGCUGAAAGCAUCUAAGCACGAAACUUGCCCCGAGAUGAGUUCUCCCUGACUCCUUGAGAGUCCUGAAGGAACGUUGAAGACGACGACGUUGAUAGGCCGGGUGUGUAAGCGCAGCGAUGCGUUGAGCUAACCGGUACUAAUGAACCGUGAGGCUUAACCUU